Molecule: ribosomal RNA, 569 nt
Filed under: uncultured archaeon
Lineage: Archaea
Description: bacterial SSU rRNA
Rfam family: Archaeal small subunit ribosomal RNA
Source: RNAcentral
ACGUGGAUAAUCUGCCCUCAGAUGAAGAAUAAUCCCGGGAAACUGGGGCUAAUGCUUCAUAGGAGACGGGUGCUGGAAUGCUCUGUCUCUGAAAGGUCCGCCGUCUGAGGAUGAGUCUGCGUCCGAUUAGGUUGUUGUUGGGGUAACGGCCCACCAAGCCUUUGAUCGGUACGGGUUGUGGGAGCAAGAGCCCGGAGAUGGAUUCUGAGACAUGAAUCCAGGCCCUACGGGGCACAGCAGGCGCGAAAACUUUACAAUGCGAGCAAUCGUGAUAAGGAAACCCUGAGUGCCUGUUAUCGCAGGCUGUUCUGGUGUCUAACACACACCAGGAGAAAGGGCGGGGCAAGACCGGUGCCAGCCGCCGCGGUAAUACCGGCUGCUCGAGUGAUAGCCACUUUUACUGGGCUUAAAGCGUUCGUAGCUUGGUCGUUAAGUCUCUGGGGAAAUCUUUUGGCUCAACCAAAAGGCGUCUCAGGGAAACUGGCGACCUAGGAACCGGGAGAGGUAAGACGUACUUCGGGGGUAGGAGUGAAAUCUUGUAAUCCCCGAGGGACGACCGAUGGCGAAGG